RNAcentral lists this ribosomal RNA (1284 nucleotides) under Microbacterium sp. RNAcentral describes it as "bacterial SSU rRNA". It matches the Rfam family "Bacterial small subunit ribosomal RNA", at positions 56 to 1352 of the family's 1533-position model. The record is from RNAcentral. Lineage: Bacteria; Bacillati; Actinomycetota; Actinomycetes; Micrococcales; Microbacteriaceae.
UGCAGUCGAACGAUGAAGCCCAGCUUGCUGGGUGGAUUAGUGGCGAACGGGUGAGUAACACGUGAGCAACCUGCCCCUGACUCUGGGAUAAGCGCUGGAAACGGCGUCUAAUACUGGAUACGAACAAGAAUCGCAUGGUUACUUGUUGGAAAGAUUUUUCGGUUGGGGAUGGGCUCGCGGCCUAUCAGCUUGUUGGUGAGGUAAUGGCUCACCAAGGCGUCGACGGGUAGCCGGCCUGAGAGGGUGACCGGCCACACUGGGACUGAGACACGGCCCAGACUCCUACGGGAGGCAGCAGUGGGGAAUAUUGCACAAUGGGCGCAAGCCUGAUGCAGCAACGCCGCGUGAGGGAUGACGGCCUUCGGGUUGUAAACCUCUUUUAGCAGGGAAGAAGCGAGAGUGACGGUACCUGCAGAAAAAGCACCGGCUAACUACGUGCCAGCAGCCGCGGUAAUACGUAGGGUGCAAGCGUUAUCCGGAAUUAUUGGGCGUAAAGAGCUCGUAGGCGGUUUGUCGCGUCUGCUGUGAAAUCUGGGGGCUCAACCCCCAGCCUGCAGUGGGUACGGGCAGACUAGAGUGCGGUAGGGGAGAUUGGAAUUCCUGGUGUAGCGGUGGAAUGCGCAGAUAUCAGGAGGAACACCGAUGGCGAAGGCAGAUCUCUGGGCCGUAACUGACGCUGAGGAGCGAAAGGGUGGGGAGCAAACAGGCUUAGAUACCCUGGUAGUCCACCCCGUAAACGUUGGGAACUAGUUGUGGGGUCCAUUCCACGGAUUCCGUGACGCAGCUAACGCAUUAAGUUCCCCGCCUGGGGAGUACGGCCGCAAGGCUAAAACUCAAAGGAAUUGACGGGGACCCGCACAAGCGGCGGAGCAUGCGGAUUAAUUCGAUGCAACGCGAAGAACCUUACCAAGGCUUGACAUAUACGAGAACGGGCCAGAAAUGGUCAACUCUUUGGACACUCGUAAACAGGUGGUGCAUGGUUGUCGUCAGCUCGUGUCGUGAGAUGUUGGGUUAAGUCCCGCAACGAGCGCAACCCUCGUUCUAUGUUGCCAGCACGUAAUGGUGGGAACUCAUGGGAUACUGCCGGGGUCAACUCGGAGGAAGGUGGGGAUGACGUCAAAUCAUCAUGCCCCUUAUGUCUUGGGCUUCACGCAUGCUACAAUGGCCGGUACAAUGGGCUGCAAUACCGUGAGGUGGAGCGAAUCCCAAAAAGCCGGUCCCAGUUCGGAUUGAGGUCUGCAACUCGACCUCAUGAAGUCGGAGUCGCUAGUAAUCGCAGAUCAG